AGUGAACGCUGGCGGUAGGCCUAACACAUGCAAGUCGAACGGCAGCACAGUAAGAGCUUGCUCUUACGGGUGGCGAGUGGCGGACGGGUGAGGAAUACAUCGGAAUCUACUUUUUCGUGGGGGAUAACGUAGGGAAACUUACGCUAAUACCGCAUACGACCUACGGGUGAAAGCAGGGGAUCUUCGGACCUUGCGCGAUUGAAUGAGCCGAUGUCGGAUUAGCUAGUUGGCGGGGUAAAGGCCCACCAAGGCGACGAUCCGUAGCUGGUCUGAGAGGAUGAUCGGCCACACUGGAACUGGAACACGGGCCAAACCCCCAGGGGGGGGAGGGGUGGGGAAUUUUGGAAAAUGGGCGAAAGCCUGAUCCGCCCAAACCGCGGGGGUGAAAAAGGCCUUCGGUUUGAAAAGCCCUUUUGUUGGGAAAGAAAAGAAGCAGGUUAAUCCCCCGCUGUUUUGACGGUACCAAAAGAAUAAGCACCGGCAAACUUCGG
RNAcentral lists this ribosomal RNA (491 nucleotides) under uncultured bacterium. Its description in RNAcentral is "partial 16S ribosomal RNA". It matches the Rfam family "Bacterial small subunit ribosomal RNA", at positions 29 to 506 of the family's 1533-position model. The record is from RNAcentral.